Molecule: ribosomal RNA, 253 nt
Filed under: uncultured bacterium
Lineage: Bacteria
Description: partial 16S ribosomal RNA
Rfam family: Bacterial small subunit ribosomal RNA
Source: RNAcentral
UACGUAGGGUGCAAGCGUUGUCCGGAAUUAUUGGGCGUAAAGAGCUCGUAGGCGGUUUGUCGCGUCUGCUGUGAAAACUCGGGGCUUAACCCCGGGCCUGCAGUGGGUACGGGCAGACUAGAGUGCGGUAGGGGAGACUGGAAUUCCUGGUGUAGCGGUGAAAUGCGCAGAUAUCAGGAGGAACACCAACGGCGAAGGCAGCACUCUGGGCCGAUACUGACGCUGAGGAGCGAAAGCGUGGGGAGCAAACAGG